GACGAACGCUGGCGGCGUGCUUAACACAUGCAAGUCGAACGGUGACGGAGAGCUUGCUCUCCUGAUCAGUGGCGAACGGGUGAGUAACACGUGGGCAACCAGCCCAGACUUCGGGAUAACGCUUCGAAAGAGGUGCUAAUACCGGAUACGAGCUCCUUGGGCAUCCUUGGAGUUGGAAAAGUUUUUCGGUCUGGGAUGGGCCCGCGGCCUAUCAGCUAGUUGGUGAGGUAACGGCUCACCAAGGCGACGACGGGUAGCCGGCCUGAGAGGGCGACCGGCCACACUGGGACUGAGACACGGCCCAGACUCCUACGGAGGCAGCAGUGGGGAAUAUUGCGCAAUGGGCGAAAGCCUGACGCAGCAACGCCGCGUGAGGGAUGACGGCCUCGGUGUAACGUACUUCUAGCAGG
Molecule: ribosomal RNA, 410 nt
Filed under: uncultured bacterium
Lineage: Bacteria
Description: bacterial SSU rRNA
Rfam family: Bacterial small subunit ribosomal RNA
Source: RNAcentral